RNAcentral lists this small RNA (781 nucleotides) under Pan troglodytes (chimpanzee). Its description in RNAcentral is "processed transcript". The record is from RNAcentral. Lineage: Eukaryota; Metazoa; Chordata; Mammalia; Primates; Hominidae.
UGCAUAUUCCAGGCCUCCUCUCUUUGAGGUUCCUCCCACAUCCACACGCCUGGCUACUGUUUAGUGCGGAGUACAAAGUGGCCGUUUAUUAUUAUUGACUGGUGAGGCCUGUGCUCCAAAAUUCAUUCUGUCAACAGAAUGUAAGCAAAGUUGGCAUUUUAAAGCAGGGCUCUUUCAGUUUCUGGGUUUUCUCAGGAUUGCUAUGCAACAGGAUCAGUGCUGUAGUCCCCGGUUCAAGCUGAAAAUGUUACACAGGAAGACAUACCAUGUAAAGGACCUCCAAGGUGAAAUUGAAGCUCACACAGAUGUUUAUCACAACCUGGAUGAAAACAGCCAAAAAAUCCUGAGAUCCCUGGAAGGUUCCGAUGAUGCAGUCCUGUUACAAAGACGUUUGGAUAACAUGAACUUCAAGUGGAGUGAACUUCGGAAAAAGUCUCUCAACAUUAGGUCCCAUUUGGAAGCCAGUUCUGACCAGUGGAAGCGUCUGCACCUUUCUCUACAGGAACUUCUGGUGUGGCUACAGCUGAAAGAUGAUGAAUUAAGCCGGCAGGCACCUAUUGGAGGCGACUUUCCAGCAGUUCAGAAGCAGAACGAUGUACAUAGGGCCUUCAAGAGGGAAUUGAAAACUAAAGAACCUGUAAUCAUGAGUACUCUUGAGACUGUACGAAUAUUUCUGACAGAGCAGCCUUUGGAAGGACUAGAGAAACUCUACCAGGAGCCCAGAGAGCUGCCUCCUGAGGAGAGAGCCCAGAAUGUCACUCGGCUUCUACGAAAGCAGGCU